RNAcentral lists this transfer RNA (73 nucleotides) under Sphingobacteriales bacterium. RNAcentral's name for it is "tRNA-Thr". It matches the Rfam family "tRNA". Rfam says of the family: Transfer RNA (tRNA) molecules are approximately 80 nucleotides in length. The record is from RNAcentral. Lineage: Bacteria; Pseudomonadati; Bacteroidota; Sphingobacteriia; Sphingobacteriales.
GCCAUCUUAGCUCAGUUGGUAGAGCGGUUCAUUCGUAAUGAACAGGUCGUCAGUUCGAGCCUGAUAGAUGGCU